GAACCAGCAACGCCGCGUGAGGGAAGACGGUCUUCGGAUUGUAAACCUUUGUCCUCUGUGAAGAUAAUGACGGUAGCAGAGGAGGAAGCUCCGGCUAACUACGUGCC
Molecule: ribosomal RNA, 107 nt
Filed under: uncultured bacterium
Lineage: Bacteria
Description: partial 16S ribosomal RNA
Rfam family: Bacterial small subunit ribosomal RNA
Source: RNAcentral